AUUGAACGCUGGCGGCAUGCCUUACACAUGCAAGUCGAGCGAAUGGAUUAAGAGCUUGCUCUUAUGAAGUUAGCGGCGGACGGGUGAGUAACACGUGGGUAACCUGCCCAUAAGACUGGGAUAACUCCGGGAAACCGGGGCUAAUACCGGCUAACAUUUUGAACCGCAUGGUUCGAAAUUGAAAGGCGGCUUCGGCUGUCACUUAUGGAUGGACCCGCGUCGCAUCAGCUAGUUGGUGAGGUAACGGCUCACCAAGGCAACGAUGCGUAGCCGACCUGAGAGGGUGAUCGGCCACACUGGGACUGAGACACGGCCCAGACUCCUACGGGAGGCAGCAGUAGGGAAUCUUCCGCAAUGGACGAAAGUCUGACGGAGCAACGCCGCGUGAGUGAUGAAGGCUUUCGGGUCGUAAAACUCUGUUGUUAGGGAAGAACAAGUGCUAGUUGAAUAAGCUGGCACCUUGACGGUACCUAACCAGAAAGCCACGGCUAACUACGUGCCAGCCGCCGCGGUAA
RNAcentral lists this ribosomal RNA (515 nucleotides) under uncultured bacterium. Its description in RNAcentral is "partial 16S ribosomal RNA". It matches the Rfam family "Bacterial small subunit ribosomal RNA", at positions 30 to 523 of the family's 1533-position model. The record is from RNAcentral.